Molecule: long non-coding RNA, 681 nt
Organism: Humulus lupulus (European hop)
Lineage: Eukaryota; Viridiplantae; Streptophyta; Magnoliopsida; Rosales; Cannabaceae
Exons: 4
Source: RefSeq, a predicted model, not a curated record
UCUGACAUGGACAGUUGAGCUUGAUGAAGAUCAUAGAUCUGAAAAUUUUGGUAUAGGAACAUUGUUGAAUGUUUUAUUGGCUGAUUCAGAAAUUGGCAAGGCUUUUGGUGGAGUUGAACAGAUACUAGUAGCUGCUACACCUAUUAAGAUGGUUAGGUCACUAUUAUAAGGAAAAUGUUGCUCGAAUUCAUCUAGAAUUAUGGAGGAUUUUAGUCGAAUUUUAGGGAAACCUCUGUCGAAUUUUUUUCUAGGAAAUGGACAAGAGUUUGAUAACAAAGGACAUGCUUUCAAAAGAGUAUGAAGAGGGAGUUGACAACUUUAUUUUCCUCGUCAACCAUUACAAUCAGUACAAUGUGGAUUCUAUGUUAUGAGGAUGAUGAAAGACUUCGUGACAAAGGAGUUUUCAAUGCGAUGGCUAACUAGUAACUGUGGCGGGAAGAACUCUUACACAAAGGAUGAGAUCAACGAAGUGCGUGAAGAAUGGGCACAAUGCGUCAUGAAUUUGAUUAGUACUACAUAGGUCUAGUCACUUUUGUUAACUUAGACUUUUAAGGAGAUACACUUACAAUGUUAACUUAGACUUUCUUGAAGAUAUACAUACUUUUGUUGUCUAACUAUAGUUUACAAUGCUUAUAUGAGUAAUUUUGUAAUUAACUUUAGACUCGUUAUUUUGGAUACUUA